GCAAGUCGUGCGAGAAAGUUCUUCGGAUAUGAGUAGAGCGGCGGACGGGUGAGUAACGCGUAGGAAUCUACCUAGUAGAAGGGGAUAGCCCGGGGAAACCCGGAUUAAUACCGUAUACCUCCUUCGGGAGAAAGAAGGCCUCUCUUUGAAGCUUUCGCUACUAGAUGAGCCUGCGUAAGAUUAGCUUGUUGGUGAGGUAAAGGCUCACCAAGGCUACGAUCUUUAGCUGGUCUGAGAGGACGACCAGCCACAUUGGGACUGAGACACGGCCCAGACUCCUACGGGAGGCAGCAGUGGGGAAUAUUGGACAAUGGGCGCAAGCCUGAUCCAGCCAUACCGCGUGUGUGAAGAAGGCCUUCGGGUUGUAAAGCACUUUAAGCAGGGAGAAAAAGUUAUAAGCUAAUACCUUAUGACCUUGAUGUUACCUGCAGAAUAAGCACCGGCUAAUUCCGUACCAGCAGCCGCGGUAAUACGGAAGGUGCAAGCGUUAAUCGGAAUUACUGGGCGUAAAGCGCGCGUAGGUGGUUUGUUAAGUUGGAUGUGAAAGCCCUGGGCUCAACCUAGGAACUGCAUCCAAAACUAACUCACUAGAGUACGAUAGAGGGAGGUAGAAUUCAUAGUGUAGCGGUGGAAUGCGUAGAUAUUAUGAAGAAUACCAGUGGCGAAGGCGGCCUCCUGGAUCUGUACUGACACUGAGGUGCGAAAGCGUGGGUAGCGAACAGGAUUAGAUACCCUGGUAGUCCACGCC
This 748-nucleotide ribosomal RNA is filed under the name uncultured Gammaproteobacteria bacterium. Its description in RNAcentral is "bacterial SSU rRNA". It matches the Rfam family "Bacterial small subunit ribosomal RNA", at positions 57 to 801 of the family's 1533-position model. Lineage: Bacteria; Pseudomonadati; Pseudomonadota; Gammaproteobacteria. The record is from RNAcentral.